This 721-nucleotide long non-coding RNA is filed under the name Equus caballus (horse). RNAcentral describes it as "lncRNA (ENSECAG00000048335.1)". Lineage: Eukaryota; Metazoa; Chordata; Mammalia; Perissodactyla; Equidae. The record is from RNAcentral.
GAAAAUGAGGCCAGGCCAAAGAACAAGGGGCCUUGAAGCUUAUUAGAAGGGCAUGGAUUUUAUCCACAAAGCAAUGGGAUGCCACUGGAGAAUUUAAAUUAGCCGGUGGCAUAAUGAGCUCUCUAUUCCCAAAAGCUCACUCUGGUUGCAACGUGGAUAGGAAUGUAUGCGGAUUGGAACCUGAUUAAGCAACGUAGCAACAAGGCAGAACAAGGUUCUCCGGAGAAACAGAAGCAAUAGGAGAGAUAUACAAAGGAGAUUUAUUAUGAGGAAAUGGCUCAUGCGAUCAUGGAGGCAGAGAGGUCCCAUCUGCUCUCUCCAAGCUGGAGACUCAGGAGAGUUGCUGGUGUAAUUUCAGUCUGAGUCUAAAGACCUAAGAACCAGGGAGCCAAAGACUAUUGUCAGGCUCAUUUUUAUCAAUCUGGUAGGAGUGAAGUGAUAUCUAGUAAGCAAAUGGGGAUCUCAGGCCUGUACCCACAAGGAAACAAAUUCUGCCACAACCAUGUCAGCUUGAAAGAGGACCAUGAGCUCCAGAAUGAAACGCAGCCUGCCUAACACCAUGACUGUACCUCGUGAGACUCUGAGCAGAGGACCCAGGAAAGCCAUGCCUGCAUCCUGACCCCCCAGAAAUGGAGAUAAUAAAUGUAUAUUGUUUUAAGCCACUAAAUUUGUGUUAAUUAGUUGUGUAGCAACAGAUAACUAAUACAAUAUUGGAUCCAUG